UUGACGCCGGAAACGAAUAACACCACAACGGCGCCUACGCGUGACGUCAUAAUUCCACGCCAAGCUAAUUAGCUAGCUGAAUGACGGCUACGAAUACUCGAAGAAUCGGAGCUAACGUCAAUUUAUCCGUAACAGGACACAUCUACAACUGCAUCAUAGAGACAACUGGGUCUCUUUCCCCCAGUGACCACAGCGAGGUCUGAGCCUCCGUCAACAUGACAGACAACAAGCGUCUCGCCUUCUCCAUUAUCCAUUUCCUUCAUGAUCAGCUCAAGUCAGGGAACCUGUCUUCAGGGGCCCAGGAGAGUCUGGAAGUUGCUGUUCAGUGUUUGGAGACAGCCUUUGAAGUUUCGACUGAUGACCAGACCCUCGCCGUGCCCAUGACGUUACCGGAGAUCUUCGCCUCAGCCACAGCAGGGUUUCCGGUUGAGUCGCAGGUCAACAACAAUUCCCCUUCUCAACAACCUCCAAACACCAUCAGCGAGGAUCAGAAAGAAGAGGCAGAGGUGCUCAAAACCGAUGGUAACGACCAAAUGAAAGUGGAAAACUACGGAGCUGCUGUUGAGUUUUACUCGAAAGCCAUCGCACUCAACCCUCAGAACGCGGUCUAUUACUGCAACAGGGCUGCAGCGUACAGCAAACUAGGUAACUAUGCGGGAGCCGUGCAGGACUGUGAGCAGGCCAUCAGCAUCGACCCAAACUACAGCAAAGCCUACGGGAGGAUGGGUUUGGCACUGGCCAGCCUUAACAAACACACAGAAGCAGCGACAUAUUACAAGAAAGCUCUGGAGCUCGACCCCGACAAUGACACGUACAAAACUAACCUGAAGAUUGCAGAGGAGAAGAUGGAAACGUCCAGUCCAACAGCAGGGAUGGGUGGAGUGGAUCUGGCCGGUCUGCUCAGUAACCCCGGCUUCAUGAACAUGGCGUCCUCUCUGAUGAACAAUCCUCAGGUCCAGCAGCUGAUGUCAGGGAUGAUGUCAGGAGCGUAUGGUGGGAUGCCAGGAGGAGGUGCUGGAAUGCCAGGAGGAGCAGGAGGAAUGCCAGGAGGAAUGCCAGGAGGAAUGCCAGGAGGAAUGCCAGGUGGAAUGCCAGGUGGAAUGCCAGGAGGAAUGCCAGGAGGAAUGCCAGGAGGAAUGCCAGGAGGAAUGCCAGCAGGCUUGCCAGGAGGACUGGGAGGACUUGGAGGACUAGGAGGAAGUGCAGCACCACCUGGACCUGCUGCUGGAGCGGGAGAUUUAUCAGGACUAAUCCAGGCAGGUCAGCAGUUUGCUCAGCAGAUGCAGCAGCAGAACCCCGAACUCAUCGAGCAGCUGAGGAGUCAAAUCCGCAACCGAACACCCAGCGCUGGAAACGAGGAGCAGCCAUGACACUCAGACACAGUAAAUACACUCACUCAAUACUGUUUCCAUCUCAAGGCCGUUUGUUCUGGUUGGCCAGGUUUGUGUGUGGACAAGAGCUCAUUUGGAUCAUGUAUAACUCGAAGGACUAAAAGGAAGUCCCCGUCCCCCCCGCCAUCACUGCACGAGAGAGAGGGAGGAGCUCCCGCUUUAUUUAGGAGCCAUCACCAAAAACAAACCCUCACUUCCUGCGGCUCUGUUGUGUUUAAGAAGAACAUUUUGACCCUAACACUUUGUUAUGAAAUACUGAUGAAUUCUAAUGAAAAAUAGUGUGUGUGUGUGUGUGUGUGUGUGUGUGUGUGUGUGUGUGUGUGUGUGUGUGUGUGUGUGUGUGUGUGUGUGUGUGUGUGUGUGUGUGUGUGUGUGUGUGUGUGUGUGUGUGUGUGUGUGUGUGUGUGUGUGUGUGUGUGUGUGUGUGGCAGAGAGCUGUUCAGUCUGACAAUUAAAAAAAGAGCAUCUCAACAUUUUA
Eleginops maclovinus (Patagonian blennie) is the source of this 1869-nucleotide RNA transcript. It is a transcript of the gene named small glutamine rich tetratricopeptide repeat co-chaperone alpha, with no coding region annotated. Lineage: Eukaryota; Metazoa; Chordata; Actinopteri; Perciformes; Eleginopidae. The record is from RefSeq and is a predicted model, not a curated record. The transcript has 12 exons.